GAUGAACGCUGGCGGCGUGCCUAAUACAUGCAAGUCGAGCGAACGGACGAGAAGCUUGCUUCUCUGAUGUUAGCGGCGGACGGGUGAGUAACACGUGGAUAACCUACCUAUAAGACUGGGAUAACUUCGGGAAACCGGAGCUAAUACCGGAUAAUAUUUUGAACCGCAUGGUUCAAAAGUGAAAGACGGUCUUGCUGUCACUUAUAGAUGGAUCCGCGCUGCAUUAGCUAGUUGGUAAGGUAACGGCUUACCAAGGCAACGAUGCAUAGCCGACCUGAGAGGGUGAUCGGCCACACUGGAACUGAGACACGGUCCAGACUCCUACGGGAGGCAGCAGUAGGGAAUCUUCCACAAUGGGCGAAAGCCUGACGGAGCAACGCCGCGUGAGUGAUGAAGGUCUUCGGAUCGUAAAACUCUGUUAGUAGGGAAGAACAUAUGUGUAAGUAACUGUGCACAUCUUGACGGUACCUAAUCAGAAAGCCAUGGCUAACUACGUG
Molecule: ribosomal RNA, 497 nt
Filed under: uncultured bacterium
Lineage: Bacteria
Description: partial 16S ribosomal RNA
Rfam family: Bacterial small subunit ribosomal RNA
Source: RNAcentral